AUUGUGCAAGUUUGAAAACUGUCUCAUUCAUUUUCAAUGGACAAAAAAUGACCGGCAAUGUAAAACUAUGAACAUGUCCAUUUAUUUGAAUGGGAAUUUCCUUGAAAUGUGGGAAUUUCGGAAAAAAAAAAAUGAAUUGAUGAAAAUUAAGGUAAUACAACAGUUGUCCUAGAUCACGGGUGUCAAACUCCGGCCCGCGGGCCAAAUUUGGCCCGCCGUGUAAUUUAAUUUGGCCCUUGAGGCAAUAUCAAAUUAGCAUUAGAGCUGGUAUUAUAACACCUGCUAAUACUCAUACUUACCAACCAACCCGAUUUUCCCGGGAGACUCCCGAAUUUCAGUGCCCUUGCCGAAAAUCACCCGGGGCAACCGUUCUCCCGAAUUUCUCUCGAUUUCCACCCAAAGGCACUGCAUUCAACGUCCUCUACAACCUGUCGUCCCGUCCGCUUUUUCUCCAUACAAACAUUGUGUCGGUCCAGUCACGUACUAUAUGCGGAAUUUACACACAAAUAAGUGAAUGCAACGUAUACUUGGUCAACCGCCAUACACGUCACACUGAGGGUGUCCGUAUAAACAACUUUAACACUGUUACAAAUAUGCGCCACACUGUGAACCCACACCAAACAAGAAUGACAGCCACAUUUAGGGAGAACAUCCGCAGUGUAACCCAACAUAAACACAACAGAACAAAUACCCAGAAUCCCAUGCAGCACUAACUCUUUCGGGAUGCUACAAUAUUUGAAAAUCGAUUUCGCAUGUCACUAUAAAGUUAUACAAACCUUGCUUGUUCAAUAUUCAAUGCAACCCCAAAUCCUCCACACGACACCGCCGCUCCAGACAGGCUAACCUCCUCCAAUCUCCGAAGACAAAGCUACGAACGCUGUCCCUGACCACCUGAGGGUACCACAGACUGUCACUUGCCCUUCCUUUUGUGUCAUCAGUCUGAACUACUCAACCCCAAAUCCUUCACACGACACCGCCGCUCCAGACAGGCUAACCUCCUCCAACCUCCGAAGACAAAGCUACAAACGCUGUCCCUGACCACCUGAGGUUACCACAGACUGUGAAAGCUUUUAAAAAUGGCUUAAAAACCCUUCUUUUUAAAAAAUAUUUUUUUUUUUAGGUAUACACAUAUUAGUACUAGCUAUUGGGCUGUUCUAGUUUUUGUUUGUAUUUAUUUGUAUCAUUUUUUUUUUUUUUUUUUUUUUAAUACACUGUAGCACUUUGAGGUUGUUUGUUCAAUGUAAAGUGAGGGAUGUCUUGUUUUGGUUUUUUUUGUCUUAUGGUUUUAAUUUGAAAAGUAACUCUCCUCUCGUUUCAGGUCACUUGCCCUUCCUUUUGUGUCAUCAGUCUGAACUACUCAACCCCAAAUCCUCCACACGACACCGCCGCUCCAGACAGGCUAACCACCUCCAACCUCCGAAGACAAAGCUAAGAACGCUGUCCCUGACCACCUGAGGGUACCACAGACUGUGAAAGCUUUUAAAAAUGGCUUAAAAACCCUUCUUUUUAAAAAAAUAUUUUUUUUUUAGGUAUACACAUAUUAGUACUAGCUAUUGGGCUGUUCUAGUUUUGGUUUGUAUUUAUUUGUAUCAUUUUUUUUAAUUUAUUUUUUUUAAUACACUGUAGCACUUUGAGGUUGUUUGCUCAAUGUAAAGUGAGGGAUGUCUUGUUUUGUUUUUUUUUGUCUUAUGGUUUUAAUUUGAAAAGUAACUCUCCUCUCGUUUCAGGUCACUUGCCCUUCCUUUUGUGUCAUCAGUCUGAACUACUCAACCCCAAAUCCUCCACACGACACCGCCGCUCCAGACAGGCUAACCACCUCCAACCUCCGAAGACAAAGCUAAGAACGCUGUCCCUGACCACCUGAGGGUAUACACAUACUAGUUCUAGCUAUUGGGCUGUUCUAGUUUUGGUUUGUAUUUAUUCGUAUCAUCUUUUUAUUUAAUUUUUUUAAUACACUGUAGCACUUUGAGGUUGUUUGCUCAAUGUAAAGUGAGGGAUGUCUUGUUUUGGGUUUUUUUGUCUUAUGGUUUUAAUUUGAAAAGUAACUCUCCUCUCGUUUCAGGUCACUUGCCCUUCCUUUUGUGUCAUCAGUCUGAACUACUCAACCCCAAAUCCUCCACACGACACCGCCGCUCCAGACAGGCUAACCACCUCCAACCUCCGAAGACAAAGCUAAGAACGCUGUCCCUGACCACCUGAGGGUACCACAGACUGCGAGAGCUUUUAAAAAAGGCUUAAAAACCCUUCUUUUUAAAAAAUACUUUUUUUUUUAGGUAUACACAUACUAGUUCUAGAUAUUGGGCUGUUCUAGUUUUGGUUUGUAUUUAUUCGUAUCAUCUUUUUAUUUUAUUUUUUUAAUACACUGUAGCACUUUGAAGUUGUUUGCUCAAUGUAAAGUGUUUUUUUACGAACAAAAUCUAUUAUUAUUAUUAUUAUUAUUAUUAAAGGUGAGCAUUGUUGAUUUUAUUGAUUUGCUUGAGUGCUUUUUAGGCGUAUUUAGUCAAUCCAUGACUGCAAGCUAAUCAAUGCUAACAUGCUAAUUAGGGUAGCUGUAUGUACAUAUUGCAUCAUUUGAGCUCAUUUAAUUCCCUUUACUUACGUUCUUUUCAUUUCUAAUAGUUGUUUUAUGUCUAAUUAAAUUCAAGUUAGAGUGGAAUAGUAUAAAAAUAACUAAACACAAAUUAAAAAAAGAGAAUUGUGUUGGCCUGUCUCUGCUAACAAAGGGUGCUUAAAACAUUUUCAAAGCAGGACUAUCAGAUAAACUUUGUAUAUUGAAAGAAAAAAAAAAUGUUAGAAUGAAGUGUCGGAAAUAAACAGUUUCAGAUGUGCAUCACCCAGGAAGUCUAACCGCAGAAACAGGAAGUGGGGAAGGAACAGAACGAGACACAUGCAGCUGUCUUCCAUGCACACAAACAUGUAUAGA
Nerophis ophidion (straightnose pipefish) is the source of this 2923-nucleotide long non-coding RNA. RefSeq lists it as uncharacterized. The record is from RefSeq and is a predicted model, not a curated record. The transcript has 3 exons. NCBI's taxonomy places the organism in Eukaryota, Metazoa, Chordata, Actinopteri, Syngnathiformes, Syngnathidae.